UUUUUUCUUGUUGUGUUUCUGUUACACAUCGCCAUCUUGUUACAAAGCCUUUUUCUUGUCUGGAAGCUUCGCGGCGGCGCGGGGUGGGAGGGGGAGAGUGCCUGGCCGGGCGUCUCGGUUUUGUUCCCUCUUCUUUUGCAACGGUCCCCGCAGCGCCGGAGGUCUUGCCAGGAGGGGCAAAGCUGGGAGUCCCCCCCCUUCUGCUUUUUAGAAAAAUUAUUUUGGGGGGCGUGCACGUCUCCCAAGACUUUGGACCUUCCGCUGAGACGCAGCCCCGAGAAAUGAGCAUUGAGACGUUGCUAGAAGCGGCCAGGUUCCUGGAAUGGCAAGCGCAGCAACAGCAGAAAACACGUGAGGAAAACGAAAAACAUGAGAAGUUCCUCUUGGAAGGCGAACAAGAGCAGAAGAAGGCCACUUUGCAGAGAAUUAACCAUACCACGCACCCCAACGAGCUGCGGAAUGAGAGGGCGGUGGUGCCCCUUUCCCCGCCAGCCCCAGUGGCCCCCCCGCCCGCACCCAUGCCGCUCGCCACUCCGAUCUCCGUCAUCCCCAUCCCAGUGGUCACCAGCCCCCCUCAGCCUGGGGCCCAGAGCACCUUGUCCCCCCCACUGAUCCAGCGCCACCCGCCGCUCCUCAGCACCCCGUGCCUCAGCAAGGACCCCCCGCUGGUGGCGCCCGUGAUCCAGAAGGCCUCUGGCCCACUGCUCCCGGAUAUCAAGGCCCCCACGCCCCCCUCCGGCAGCCCGAGCCAGCUGCCCCAUUACGCCACCCCCGUGCUGGCCAUCUCGCACCACCACGUGGUCCAGCCGCCCGCCCACCAGCUGAAGCCUCCCCAGGUGCCGCCUCCGCCACUCAGCGUCAAGCUGGCUCCGUCGGAGGACCCCAAGCCGAGCGAGCAAAAGAAGAGGCCUGGAGGGGUUGGCACCAGGGAAGUCCAUAAUAAAUUGGAAAAAAACAGACGUGCGCACCUGAAAGAAUGCUUCGAGACCCUUAAACGAAAUAUCCCCAAUGUCGACGACAAGAAAACCUCAAACCUCAGCGUCCUAAGGAGUGCCUUGAGAUAUAUCCAGACCUUAAAACGCAAAGAGAAGGAAUAUGAGCACGAGAUGGAGCGGCUAGCACGGGAAAAGAUCGCCACGCAACAGCGGCUGGUGGAGCUGAAGAACGAAUUGAGCCAGUGGAUGGAUAUCCUGGAGAUCGACCGGAUUAUCCGACAGACUGUUCAGCCCGAAGACGAUCAGGCGUCUACCUCGACCGCGUCAGAAAGUGUCUCAGUGCCUGAUUCCCGACCACACCAGUCGCCGUGUUGCUUCGAAAUGACCUUGGAUGGCAUUGUCUGUUGGAUCACCCCGUGUAUAGCGCUCUUCUCGGUAUGUACACCUAAACACCCACACUCUGCUAGCUACAGCUGUUCAAUUCUGCACGCGCAACACAUGUUUCGUCACAAUAACCCUGUUUAUCUUUUAGGCGACAGAAGGCUCCUCGCUGCAGCGCUUUGUCUCAGCAAGAUUAUCAGAACAGUGGGCAGGCAAAGAAAACAUGGAGGAGUGUUUGACAGCCUUUGGUCUCCGAAAGGAAACGAGGUGAGAGACGUCUGGCCGAGCUGGUGGGAGUAAAGGGAGCCCUUCUAGGGAGCUGCGGUAGUGUGGACGGAAGUCGAGACGCUUGCUUGCCAGCCGUGGUAAAGUGGUGAUCCCGGUCCGGGCAACCAGAGACGCGUGGAAACCAAACCAGCCAUGGAGGCGAUCCAUAGUUUUAGAAGACCAAUUGCAGGCGCUUCGGAAGGGGAUCCGGAGAACACAGCAGGCCCACUCAGAAGUUCUGCAAGAAGCUGCUGAACACGUUGCUUUAGCGUAAGGUGGACCGGAGAGGACCGCUUGGUUGGGGAGUUGAGUACUUUUGGCGCACCUUGAUGUGUCGUUGCGCUGCCUCUUGCCUCUCUGGCGCCAGUUCUAACUCUUCACCUGCGUUGGCUGCCAAGAGUGAGGAAUGCCUAUUUACCUACCAGCUUCUCCUGGUGAGAGCAAGUCAUCAGGCCUUCCAGAUGGGCUGGAGUCCCGGUGCUAAGUCCUUAUAUGGGGAGAAGGGUUCCAGCUGGAUCAAAGGCAGCGUUUUAGCUCAGAGAUGACUGGGUGACCAGGUUGUGAGGGGAACCCCACUCAUUCCACGCUGCCUCCUGGGGGGCUGCCAGGGGUCUUUCAGACAGUAAUUUCCUUUUUCCACCCUCCUGUCCCCACAAGCGAAUGGUGGGCAGCCCAACUUGGAGAGAUGGGGAAAUCCUUGCAGGGCCAGGAAUCCAGUCGUAGCCCCUCAUGCAAGGGCUGGCCGGCAUGGCCGGUUUGUGGAGUGCCUGCCAGGAGGCAAACCCCACAAAUACGAUCGCUCUCCCGUGCAGUGUUUGUGUCGUUGCAUCUGGCACCGGAGAAGGUUGUACAGCCUUCAUGGAGCCCCUCCCGGGGGCUCGCUUGCAAGAGCUGGCAAGACGAGAGGGAGGUCCGCAGAAGCAAGAGGAGGGAUAUGGCUGACUUUGACCCUAGUCCAAGGGUGUUGUGUUCUUGUUUUAUUCCAGUUAUGUUUUGUAAGCUGUCCUGAGACGUUUGUAGUGGAUGGGUAAGAAAAGCUUUUGAUGGAUGGCUGGAUGGAUAAAAUUCCAUUAAAGAAGAGCUUGUGGUGGCGCCAAGGGGCCACACACAAGAAGGCCCUGCUACCCGAGGAGCACUUAGUGGAGCAAGGUUUAUAUGCUGGCGCCUGCUUGGGAUGGGUAAGUCUGGUGUGGACCAGGGCUGGACCACCUUCUCCAAGCCUGGUGCCCUCCAGCAUCUGGCUGUCUUUCUGCCCAGCUCAGGCACUGAUGGUUUGGGGGGGGGGGGUGGAUGCUUGGUUUUGAAACAGCUGUGAGACAAAGAGCUCCGUGGACCCGUUCGAAAAAGCUUUGCCAAUAUGUAUUUUUUAAUUUAUAGGUUGCACUUAAAAGAUAAACUCUUCAGCAAUAACGAAAAUAUUCUGGUCCUGACAAAAAUAAAUAAGGCAAUGCACAAGAUUCAUAAAAUACCAUUGUACAGAACAGUAUAAUAAACAUGUACAACAAAGUUUGCACAGUUAAA
Molecule: RNA transcript, 3104 nt
Organism: Varanus komodoensis (Komodo dragon)
Lineage: Eukaryota; Metazoa; Chordata; Lepidosauria; Squamata; Varanidae
Gene: MNT
Gene name: MAX network transcriptional repressor
Exons: 9
Source: RefSeq, a predicted model, not a curated record